CAGCAGCCGCGGUAAUACGCUCCAAUAGCGUAUAUUAAAGUUGUUGCCGUUAAAAAGCUCGUAGUCGAACUUCGGUCUCUGUCGGUCGGUCCGCCUUCUUGGUGUGUACUUACUCGACGGAGACUUACCUCCUGGUGAGCUGCGAUGUCCUUUACUGGGUGUCGUAAGGAACCAGGACGUUUACUUUGAAAAAAUUAGAGUGUUCAAAGCAGGCCUACGCCCGAAUACAUUAGCAUGGAAUAAUAGAGUAGGACGCGCGUUCCCAUUUUGUUGGUUUCUGAGAUCGCCGUAAUGAUUAAUAGGGAUAGUUGGGGGCAUUUGUAUUCCGUCGUCAGAGGUGAAAUUCUUGGAUUGCCGGAAGACAAACUAUUGCGAAAGCAUUUGCCAAGGAUGUUUUCAUUGAUCAAGAACGAAGGAAGGGGGAUCGAAAACGAUCAGAUACCGUUGUAGUCUCUUCUGUAAACUAUGCCAAUUGGGGAUCAGCCUAGGAUUUUUUAUGACUAGGUUGGCACCCGAAGAGAAAUCUUUAAAUGAGGUUCGGGGGGGAGUAUGGUCGCAAGGCUGAAACUUAAAGGAAUUGACGGAAGGGCACCACCAGGUGUGGAGCCUGCGGCUUAAUUUGACUCAACACGGGGAAACUCACCAGGUCCAGACACAAUAAGGAUUGACAGAUUGAUAGCUCUUUCUUGAUCUUGUGGUUGGUGGUGCAUGGCCGUUCUUAGUUGGUGGAGUGAUUUGUCUGGUUAAUUCCGAUAACGAACGAGACCUUAACCUGCUAAAUAGACCAGCCGGCUUUGGCUGGCUGCUGUCUUCUUAGAGGGACUAUCAGCGUUUAGCUGAUGGAAGUUUGAGGCAAUAACAGGUCUGUGAUGCCCUUAGAUGUUCUGGGCCGCACGCGCGCUACACUGACAGAGCCAGCGAGUCUACCACCUUGGCCGGAAGGCCUGGGUAAUCUUGUGAAACUCUGUCGUGAUGGGGAUAGAACAUUGCAAUUAUUGUUCUUCAACGAGGAAUACCUAGUAAGCGUGAGUCAUCAGUACGCGUUGAUUACGUCCCUGACCCUU
This 1064-nucleotide ribosomal RNA is filed under the name uncultured urediniomycete. RNAcentral describes it as "SSU rRNA". It matches the Rfam family "Eukaryotic small subunit ribosomal RNA", at positions 568 to 1660 of the family's 1831-position model. Lineage: Eukaryota; Fungi; Basidiomycota. The record is from RNAcentral.